RNAcentral lists this ribosomal RNA (435 nucleotides) under uncultured bacterium. Its description in RNAcentral is "partial 16S ribosomal RNA". It matches the Rfam family "Bacterial small subunit ribosomal RNA", at positions 29 to 507 of the family's 1533-position model. The record is from RNAcentral.
AGCGAACGCUGGCGGCAGGCUUAACACAUGCAAGUCGAGCGGGCAUAGCAAUAUGUCAGCGGCAGACGGGUGAGUAACGCGUGGGAACGUACCUUUUGGUUCGGAACAACUGAGGGAAACUUCAGCUAAUACCGGAUAAGCCCUUACGGGGAAAGAUUUAUCGCCGAAAGAUCGGCCCGCGUCUGAUUAGCUAGUUGGUGAGGUAAUGGCUCACCAAGGCGACGAUCAGUAGCUGGUCUGAGAGGAUGAUCAGCCACAUUGGGACUGAGACACGGCCCAAACUCCUACGGGAGGCAGCAGUGGGGAAUAUUGGACAAUGGGCGCAAGCGUGAUCCAGCCAUGCCGCGUGAGUGAUGCAGGCGCUAGGGUUGUAAAGCUCUUUUGUACGGGAAGAUAAUGACGGUACCGCAAGAAUAAGCCCCGGCUAACUUCGUG